RNAcentral lists this long non-coding RNA (9284 nucleotides) under Panax ginseng (ginseng). RNAcentral's name for it is "long non-coding RNA (PGIN_LNC008507)". The record is from RNAcentral. Lineage: Eukaryota; Viridiplantae; Streptophyta; Magnoliopsida; Apiales; Araliaceae.
AGAGUCUUAGACUCAGUAUUUACCCGAUAAAGCUGUCGGUACGCCGACAAAUGUCAGACCUUAUAAAAGAAAGAAAAGGCUACUGUAAGAACAUGGAUGAGAUAUUUGUAGAAUGUAUAAAAAUAUUUCAUGUAUAGAAUAUGAACUAAAAGUAUGAUCACUGCGAUUAUGUGAUGACAUGAUUAGACUAUGUGCUGACUGUAAUAGACAGUACUAUGUGUUAUGAUAUAUUGUUCUAAUCGAACGAAUGAUCUGAUUAUUGAUAGGUUGUGAUAAAGAGAUAUAACCUAAGUUGAGAUUUGUAAUCAGCAAAUCAGGCAAGUAUCUUACCUUUGCAUUUUCUUUAUGCAAUGGACAUGAGUAAGAAGUUUCAGGAUUCUUCUAUUCCUGUACAGAUUAUGUACGCUUUGAUUAUCAACAUGUUAGCUCAGAUAUAUAUUCUGUUAAGUUUAUUUAUAAAUGGUUAUACAAGUGUCCCCACUUGGAUAAUCAUGGCAUUUAUUCACAUGUUGAUACACUUUUUCAAUUACCUCGUAUACAUAUAUGUUGAAUUACAUAUUAUUGUUGAGCAAGAUUAAAAACCUUCGGGUUUGGAACCAGGCAUGUAUGAACAUCCCGAUAAUGGGAAAAUUUUUAUGCGCUUCGGCGGACAAAGGGUGAGCGAUGAAUUUCGUUCAAGUUAUGUAGUAUUGAUCAAUACAGGGUACAACGGGGCUGAUCACCCUCCGUGCCCGUAAGUUAUGACGGUUUGCGGAUGAAUUUCUGCUAAACCUUUUCGAAAAUGAAAAACAAUGUUCAUAGUAUGUUUCUUAAACCCUAUUCAUGGGUGGAGCCUAAUUUCAAGAAAUUGAAAGAGAGUUGUUAUGUGAAUCUUUUAUCAGUACAGAUUACUUCACAACUUUUGAUUCGUUGUAGAAGUGUUAUGUAAAGAGAAUACUUAUAUUCUUUCAGCUUAUAUAUAUAAUUGCUAUUACUUGCUGGGCACUCAAAUGCUCAUCCUUGCUUAAAUUAAAUGUUUUCAGUUAUGUAUGAGCAACCUGAAGGCUCAGGCACGAACAAAGGAAAAGGAAAGCUGAUCGAAUAAGUGUGUAUUAUGAGUUAAUGGUUAUAGUUGUAUUGGUAUCUAUUCAAGUAUUGUAAGGAAUGUAUUUGAAGGUCACGUACCUGGGGAAGUAAACUUUGAUGUAUGUAAAUUAAGUUCGAAUGUAUUAUUAUUUAGUAUUAUUCAGCUUAAAGAAAUGGUAUCGUGGAGAACCGAGUUCGGGUUUCAAGUACCUGGAUUUGGGGUCGUCACAGGUUGGUAUCAAAGCUGUUGGUUAUGAAGCUUAGGUAGGAAUACCUGAGACUAAUAACCGCAAUGAUUAGGAUAAGUAUUAACUCAUAUAGAGUUAGUUGGUCGAUAAGAUUCAAAGAUGAAUCUCGGCGAGUGUAAAGACACAGAGUUCCCUAACUCUGAUUAUAAAGUUAAACAGUAGUGGGGAAUAGAUUGAGUCUAAAAGACUGAAAGUGCAGUUAUGAGAGAUCGUAAAAUAAAACGAUCAAGAUAUAGAACUAAAUCGUAAUAUAUACGAUGAGAUCACCCCGUGAUCUGAUAAGGCUAUGACAGCCAGAAGGAAUCAAUCUGAUGAUUGGAAAGUUUACAGCAAGAUUGCUGUGUAUGAAUUGUACUAUCAAUUGGUACAGAUCCAGAAGAGAAUUAUAAAUACGAAUUAAAUUCGUAUGGAGAAUGGGGUUAGUGUUAGAUGGGGAUUCAAUUGAGGACUCAUGUCGGCAGCUGAGUUGUAUGAUUCUUCGUAUGGGAGCUGAAUUGUACUUGGUGUAAAAACCACUUAGUUUCUGGCACUGAUAAUCAUUGAAAUGUCUGUGUCGCGCUAUUUGUUAUAUGCACAUUAAGAGGAUGACUCCAUUCUCAGGUGUAUAACAGGUAGAUAGGUCAUAGAUAGAGAAUAUAAGAUUAAGUUCGAGUUCUUAAAACUCAUACCUAUGAGACAUUCUUGACUCAUAAUUAUAUGAAAUGUUUAUGAACCCCUCAGCGAAUGGACGCCAAAGGUCUGACUAGGAUAAGUUCUUAAACUCAUAUGAUUGUGGCAAUUUAUGAACUCAUAAGUGUGGUUUGAUGAACUGGGUAUAGUUUUGUGUGAAUGGAGUGUUAUGGAUUACAGGAACAGAUAGAUUGUUAAGUAAAUGAUUUUUAGUGAAGGUGUUAGGUUUUCCUAAACUCCUAGCUAUGCUAAACUUCAAAAUUUUUGACAUCAAGCUAAAUACGCACUAUGUGCUUUUGAAAACAAAAAUGUAGACUCGUAAUCAUUUUUGAAACGGUUUAAAGUACGGUCUAUGCUACUUAUUUUGGCUAGACGCAAAUGAUUUGAAAUAUCAAAAUUUGUUUUUAAUUAUCACUCAUGUACCAUGUAACCUGGUGCAGAGAUGAUAAAAAUGUGAUGGAGUUGUAAAUACAGGAAUACUUAGUGUGAAUUUGACCUGAAGUCGCUGUUCCACUAUUGUAUGAUGUGUUAUGACAAAGUCAUACAAUGACGGCAUCCUCAACGGAUUGUUAAUACAGUACGGCAUCAUGACGUCAUUCUCGAAAAUGUUUUCAAAAAGUUUAAUUUGCCAACGGGGUUUGGCUACAUCUAAAUAAUUCGAUUGAAUUGAAUUAUUGAUAUGAGUCUAUGCUAUUUGAAUCAGCUAGACUAAUGUUUAUGAAAACUCUAAGUGUUCAUUGAAAGAAAUUUCCCGAACCAAAUUGUUUGGUGCGGAAUCCUAUGAUAAGACUGAGGUGAACAAUGUUGUUUGGAUAAAUGAUCCAAUCUAAUGGCGUAAAUAUUCGCUAGGUAUGAUUAAUACGUUAUGCAUGACGUAGGGGUACAAUAGGCUAAUCACCUAAAGUACUAUUAAUGGUAGUUUACCUUCUUUGUGAUUGUAAACAUACCAGGUAAUGUUUUGUUUUGCGGUAUGAAUACCGUUAAAACUAUGUGUUCAUGGUCUAUAUGACCCCUCAGCACAAUUUGAAAACUUUUACUCUUGUGAGAGGUGUAUUGGGUAGCAUGUGAUGAUAUGUGUGAAUGUUGUAAGCACAGAUAGAGUUAGCCGAGUUAUGAGGGAGGUUGGAGCAGAGGGAGAUAUUCAGAUAAGACAGUUGAAGGUUGAAAUAGAAGCCAAAGACACCAGAUAUAUACCUUGGACCAGGCUUUAGUCAUCACCUUCAUGCGAUUCGAUGCAGAGUGGAUGGAGCUGCCUUUCGGCAGAGAUAGGCGUUGAUGAGAAUUGAAUAAAUUUAUCGUCAAUCAAAAUAAGAGACAACGUAUAUAGAACUCUUGAUUGCUGUGUAUAUAUACUAUAUGUUAAUCAGGGUAACUUAUGUAUGUAGAUGUCUGGUGAGAAAGAUAUGUGGAAUAAGAAGGAUCAUAUUCACACCCCGAGCUAAUAUCGAGGCCAACAGAUGAAAUAGAAGCUCACUAGGAACCCAAAUCGGACGAGGUGGCUAUCGUGGAAAAACGUAGCAUCAGAUCCAGAAAUGUUGGAUUUGACAGAUAGUGAUUCAGACACUAAAGUUGAAGCUGCUCAAGCAUCAACGGAGGUGCAGGAUUUGGAGAACAAGGUUUCUUCAUUGGAAAGGUUGUGGGAGAUAGAAAAGUUGAUGCGUCAGGCGUUAAUGGAAACAAUGGAAGAGCAGGAUAAGCUCAAAAUCCAAAUUGACCAGAUGGAGCCUCAAGCGACACAUCCGUGAAGGACACACCUCUCCUCGUUGCCCCGACUAUAAGAAAGGUGGAUGUUUUAAUUGUGGGAUGGAAGGACAUCGAGCGAAUGAAUGUCCGAGAAAAAGGCUUGGUAAAUAAGUAGUAUGGGUUAUGUAUGUAAUAUGUGUGAUAAGUAAUGAACUAUUUUUAACUUUUAUGUUGGUUAAGAUUUUAAAUCCCGACUUUCGUAGUCACAAAGGGAUAGCUGUUGAUUAAAGCAGGAUGUGCUGUGUAAAUAUUCGAUAAAUGAAUAUGAAUCUAAGUUUGAGAAAUGAAACGAGUUUAAUACAUUAAUCUUAUGCAAUAAGGUUUAAAAUGUAAGGGUAUAAUUUAUGGUUUUAUUUAACCAGAUAAUGCCGCCAAGACGUCAAACUCGAAACCAAAGGAUAGAAGAAUCUACUAAUGCUGGGGAACGACAGCCAGAACUGAUGCAAAACUUUGCAAACAUGGUAGCUCAGGCUAUGCAGCAGGGAACACCAGUUGCGGGAAACCAGCCAGACAAUCGCUUGGCAAAAUUCAAAGACUUCAAAGCCGUAGGACCACCAGAAUUCAGAGGAUCAGCUGACCCUAUAGAAGCCCAGACUUGGGUGAACGAGAUAGAGAAGGCGUUCGUAAUCGCUAAAGUAGAUGAGGGGCAAAAGACCGCUUUUGCCACUUAUAUGAUGAAAGGGGAAGCUAACUUUUGGUGGGAGGCAAAUAAGACUCGGGCAGGAGAAGGAGAAAUUACUUAGGAUAGGUUUAAGGAUUUAUUUUUCGAGAACUAUCUCUUUGUUAGUAUGCAGUCUAGAAUGGAGGUGAAAUUCCUGGAGUUAAAACAGGAGAAAAUGACUGUUGCGGAGUAUGCCGCAAAGUUUAAUGAGUUGGCUAGGUUUGCUCCACAUCUAGUGAGCAUAGAAGCUAGAAAGGCAAGGAGGUUUGAGUUGGGCUUAAAACCCUGGCUCUACAAUAAGGUGGCAGUACUGCAAAUAAAUAAUUUUGCAACACUCAUGGAGGAGGCUAUCAUAACUGAACAGGGGAGUGAGGCCAUGAGCCUCUACCACAAGGAGAAGAAGAACAAAAGCAAGUCAGGAGGAGCAAUGAAGAUGGAAAGUAGUAGCGAGAAUAGGGGUGAGAAGAGAAUGAGGAAUUUUUCUGAGAGUGUGCAAGUGAAGCAGGAAGGUGCAAAGAAGCAUGUAGUGCAGUGCAAGAACUGCGGGAAGAACCACUCUGGCGAGUGUCUGAAGGGUAAGUACGUGUGCUAUAAGUGCGGGCAAGAGGGUCAUAUCUCUCCCAACUGCCCCAACUCAAAGAUGAUCAGUGGAUACUUCAUAUGCGGAUCGACUGAGCAUCAGGUGAGGAACUGUCCAAAGAGGGCAAUGGAGGCAGGAAACGUAACCACGGGGAGAAGCAGUGGGACGUUAACAAUUUUAGGACUAAACUCAACCAGUAACCCAACGAAAGCAACUCCGAGGGUCUACAAUAUGACGGUUUAGGAUACGGUGGCAGCUGGAGACAGAACUCCAGGUGCUAUUUGAAUCAUUUAUAUAUCUUCCUGCAUAUAUAGUAGAUUAUUAUUUUUUUUAAAAAAAUUUUGAGUUCUUUUAGAAAUCAAAUUUCCGCCUAAUCAGAGUAUUGUGAAGACUAGUUAAAGAUCAGUUCGAUCAGGUAUGAUCGAGGUCUACAUACAAUGAUUAUAUGCUAUGUACCCUUCUACAUAUGAGUUUUUAAAGCGGUGAUUCCGGGGACGGAAUCCUUAUAAGGGAGGGUGAAUGUAAUAACCCGAGAUUUCCUAUAUAAAAUAAAUAAGAAAUUUUGCGUAUAAAUUUUUUUUUAUUUAAUGACGAGAAUAAGUGUCUAGUAAUGUGAACGAUAGAUACAAAUAUAUUUAUUACUUGAAAAAUUAAAAAUAAUUUUGGAGUAAUUAAUUACCACAAAUUAUAUUGUCAUGGUAAUUAAUUCCUGUAAGCCGAAAUGUUUUUAUUGAUUAUUUUCCAUGAAAACAUGAUUGGAAAUAAUAUAUGAAGUGACAAUUAGAUUUAUAUAAUAAAUAUUUUAUUAUAUGAAUUGUUCAGAAUAUUAAAGUUAAUUAUUUUAACUUGAUUAUUGAUGUUGUGUAAGAAAGAGAAGUCAGAUAUGAGAUCCAAACCCUGAAUUGUGAUUGUGAUCAAGAGAUGAGAAUAAUAUUAUUAUAUUAUUGUUAUAAUGAUUUUACAGUACAAUAAUUAUGUACUGUGUAUGUGCGUAUAGAUAAUUUUGAGCAAUGACGGUCAAUUAGGUCAUAGCAUAUUACCGUGCUGUGAAACCCUAAUUAUUAAACUCAGUUAUGAGAAAUGACUGAGUGGUGACUGUGUAUAUGAAGUUUACUAUGUAUAUGAAGUUACUGUGUACAAGAAUGUCGGUAACUAGAAGGAAACCCUAAUUACUGUUGUACGUCGAUAAUUAGGACAAACCCUAAUUAUUAUAACCUUAAUCGGUUGAAGUUAUAGAUCGUAAUGACUGUGUUAGUAACAUACACAGAUAAUUAGAGAACCCUAAUUGAUGGCGUUAAGAAACCCUAAUUAUAGAACCCUAAAUUUUAAAUCGAAAACCCUAAUUUUAAAUUACCAGGUUAAAUUACGAUGUUAAUGAACAAGUAUUUUAAUUUAUCAAAGAUAGAAAGUAAUUGGUAAAUGAUAAGAAUUACCAUCUAGUGAUUAAAUAUUACAUUUAAUUGCCUUGUACAAAAAUGCCCUUGAAAUUAUAUGAGAAAUUACCAAAAUACCCUUUUAGUGUAUUAUUAGUUGCAUUAUUGUGCAUUAUUAGUUGCAUUGUUAGUAGAAUCUUACAAAUGACCAGCCAACCACCUUACCCUACUGAUGUAACAUUUAUGCAACACAUUUCUCAACUAUUACAAACACAUGGUAGCAAUUCAUUGCAUUAUUUAAGAGAGAAAGUCCUCAUUACACACUAAAAUUUUCCAAAGUCUCAUCCUAUACUCUCCCAACCUCUUACCAACGAAUUUCUCUUGCCCAUACACUCAUAAUCAAAGCCCAGCAACCACAAACAACAAAUCAGAAGCAUCAAAGUCAGAAAUCAAGAAAUCAAAGUAAGAAAAGGUAUGAAAUCCCAAAAAUUAGAAAUCCUUCGACUCGAUGUUAAUUGAUGCAAUUGAUUGUUUAAAGUUGUUUAAUAGGGAGUCUAUUAAUGUUCUGGGUUGUAAAAACACAGACCCAUAACAUCAAAGUACACGAAUUUGAAGAUUUGAGAAAUCUGGAAAAUUUCAUUUCUGUGAUUUUUUGUCAAAUGUCAGAGCUUAUAUAUCUUUUCUUGAUCAUGAGUUUUGUUGUUUAAAAGUUGUUAUAUGUAGCCUGAUAUGUGGUCUUUAAUAUGAAAAACGAAUCAAGUUCAUAGAUAUUGUAGAUCAGGAUUUAUAAGCGGUCAAAAUGGGUUGACCGGCAUUGACCGGCUGUUCUUCAAACCCAGAAAAUAUUCUAAGUGUCCAGAAAAUAUUUUUUUGGCAAAUGUCAGGCCUUAUAUCUCGGUUAUCUUUAAUGUGUUUUGUGUUCUAAAGGUUGUUAUGUGUAGCGUGUUAUGUGGUAUUUAACCUCCAAAAAGAAUCAGGUCCAUAUAUAUUAUGGAUUAAGAGUUAUUUAAGGUCAAAGUGGGUUGACCGGCAUUGACCGGAAAAUUCUGGGCAGCCCAGAAUUUUCUAAGUGUUGAUUUUUCUGACAAGGUUUGACCAUACUUUAGCUGCUUGAUUUCUUGUUGUUAUGAUGAUGUUAAGUGUUAAAGUUGUAGUCCUAUAUGUUGUCUACACACUGGAGUUGAUAGAUCACAUAAACGUUACACGAUCGUCAAGUUAUAGAGGCCCAAAGUAGGCAUCACGAACUGUUCUUCACGAAGAACAGCUCUGACAGCUAUUUUGAUGGCUAAUUUCUCCCAGAUCUGAUGUUGUUUAGAAGUAAUGAUUGUUGGUUAUUGUAUUCCGGUAUUUCCUCUACAAGAUCCAAGUCAUAGAUGUCCCAGAUUCGUUAAGAGCACAAAGUUAUUCACGGUCAAAGUAGUCCCCUCACACGCUGCUCUGACAGUGUUCUUGAGAUGAAGAACACCUAUAGCGACGGUUCUGUCACUAUAGGCCCCUUUGGCGACAGAUUUGAAUUAUUUUAAAUUUUUCAAUUUCUGGAAAUUCCGAAAAUGAUUUAAAAAUUAGAAAAAUUAGAUUUUAAAUUCUGAAAAAUUAUUUUAAAGUCUGAAAAAUAAUAUUUAAUUAUUUUGAGUAUAUUUCAUAAAUAUUUAAUAUUUUUGGAAUAUAAAAGGUAUUUAUUUAUUUAAUUAUAAUAUUAAAUAAAUGAUUUAAAAAUAGUUUUAAUUCAUGAAAAAUCAUGAAAAAUUAUUUUAUGGUAUAAGAAAAUAUUUUAAGUUAUUUUCCAUGACUUUUAAUAUUUUGUGAUGAAUUUCAUUAAUUAAUUAUAUAUUAAUGAUAUUAAAGUUAUUUAAUGAUUAUAUUAAAUAAUUUAGUUUAAAAAUGAUUUUAAUAUUAUAAAAAUCAUUUUAAAUGAAAUUAAGGUAUUUAAAAAUAUUUUAAGUUAUAAAAUAUAACUUUUAAUAUUUAAAGGAUAAUUUCAUUAAUAAUUUAAUAUUAAUGAUAUUAAGAUAAUAUUAAUGAUAUUUAGUUUAUUUAAUAAUUAUUAUUAAAUAAAUAGUUUAAAAAUGGUUUUAUUUAUUUAAAAAUCAUUUAAAGAGGAUAUUAAGGAUUUAAAAAUAUUUUAAGUUAUAAUUAAUGACUUUUAAUAUUUGGAUGAAUAGUACAUUAAUAUUUAUAUAUUAAUGGUGAUUAUUUAAAAAUGAUUUUAAUUGUUUUAAAAAUCAUUUAAGGGUAAUAUAAAUGUUUUAAAAAUAGUUUGAGUUAUUAUAAAUAACUUUUAUAUUUUGGCAAUGGUUUCAUUAAUAGUUUAAUAUAAAUUAAUUAUUAAUGAUAAUGGAAUUGUUUAAUGUUUAAAUCAUUUAAUUAUGAUUCCGAUGUUUGAAAGUUAUAGCCGGCCAAACUAGCUGACUUGAGAACCGAUUAUGAAGUUAUGAAGUUUUGAGGAACACCUAUAGUAACAGUUAUAUCACUAUAGGCCCGGUAGUGACAGAUUUGAAUUAUUUUAAAUUUUUCAAUUUCUGGAAAAUUCGAAAAUGAUUAAAAAUAAAAUGUUUGAUAUUUACAGAUGUUGAGGUAUAGGAUAAGAGUCUUAGACUCAGUAUUUACCCGAUAAAGCUGUCGGUACGCCGACAAAUGUCAGACCCUAUAAUAGAAAGAAAAGGCUUCUGUAAGAGCAUGGAUGAGAUAUUUGAAAAAUGUAUAAAAAUAUUUCAAGUAUAGAAUAUGAACUAAAAGUAUGAUCACUGCGAUUAUGUGAUGACGUGAUUAGACUAUGUGCUGACUGUAAUAGACAGUACUAUGUGUUAUGAUAUAUUGUUCUAAUCGAACGAAUGAUCUGAUUAUUGAUAGGUUGUGAUAAAGAGAUAAAACCUAAGUUGAGAUUUGUAAUCAGCGAAUCAGGCAAGUAUCUUACCUUUGCAUUUCCUUUAUGCAAUGGACAUGAG